AGUGGGGAAUAUUGCACAAUGGGCGAAAGCCUGAUGCAGCAACGCCGCGUGAGCGAUGAAGGCCUUCGGGUCGUAAAGCUCUGUCCUCAAGGAAGAUAAUGACGGUACUUGAGGAGGAAGCCCCGGCUAACUACGUGCCAGCAGCCGCGGUAAUACGUAGGGGGCUAGCGUUAUCCGGAAUUACUGGGCGUAAAGGGUGCGUAGGUGGUUUUUCAAGUCAGGAGUGAAAGGCUACGGCUCAACCGUAGUAAGCUCUUGAAACUGUAAAACUUGAGUGCAGGAGAGGAGAGUGGAAUUCCUAGUGUAGCGGUGAAAUGCGUAGAUAUUAGGAGGAACACCAGUUGCGAAGGCGGCUCUCUGGACUGUAACUGACACUGAGGCACGAAAGCGUGGGGAGCAAA
This 401-nucleotide ribosomal RNA is filed under the name uncultured Intestinibacter sp. Its description in RNAcentral is "bacterial SSU rRNA". It matches the Rfam family "Bacterial small subunit ribosomal RNA", at positions 353 to 772 of the family's 1533-position model. The record is from RNAcentral. Lineage: Bacteria; Bacillati; Bacillota; Clostridia; Peptostreptococcales; Peptostreptococcaceae.